ACUCGUGUCAUGAGCAGUAACGACUCGACCCAUCAGUAAUAAUAAUUUAUUUUAUUAUGUCAAAUUAUCAGAAUUAUUUUUUCAUCGGAUGUAAAAUUAUUAGGGCAUUACAAAUACCAUGUGAUAGGUGGCCGGACUAUUGGGGCAUUACAAACACCAUGCGAUGUGAGUUGAUGUAGCAUCUUGUCCUGCAUAGUAUUUUACUUUCAUAAUAAUCACGACUUGUUUUCAAUUUUAUCCUUUAGUUAUGCGCAAAUUUUUGAAAAUUUUAAUACUUCUU
RNAcentral lists this long non-coding RNA (280 nucleotides) under Ananas comosus (pineapple). RNAcentral's name for it is "long non-coding RNA (ACOM_LNC018951)". Lineage: Eukaryota; Viridiplantae; Streptophyta; Magnoliopsida; Poales; Bromeliaceae. The record is from RNAcentral.